Molecule: long non-coding RNA, 908 nt
Filed under: Solanum tuberosum (potato)
Lineage: Eukaryota; Viridiplantae; Streptophyta; Magnoliopsida; Solanales; Solanaceae
Description: long non-coding RNA (STUB_LNC006898)
Source: RNAcentral
UGCCAGAUGAGAAACCAAAAAAAAGUUUUUUGGAAGGCUUCUAAUCAUUUCCCUAUAAAAACUUAUCAUUAGAAACCUCCAAAUUAGAUACCCCUACUCAUAACUUUCGCCACCCUUGCAUGAUAAUUCAAAAUUCAAGCAAAGACAAAAAUGGUUUUGAGAACCGAGAAAGAGUACAACUAAUUGUAUGAAAUGGUAUAGAACGAAAUUCGAAAGCUCCUAACAGUUUCCCUAUACAAACAAGUUGUACUGUAAUGAGAAAUUACCAACCCUCUAGAUUUGGAUAUAAUUACUUGUAGCUUUCACUCUCCUUGCCUUUUCCCAGUUAAACAGGCUAUGCAAUGUCACAUUCUAUAUAUGGUAAAAGAAAACUAAUGAGUAAAUGUUGUUCAGAAAGUGCCAUCAGUAAAUGCUAUAUAUACUAAAUACCUAUUUUCUAGUAAUCGAGAAAUCCCUGAGGUCCUAGUAUUGCAGGAUAAGAGACUUGGUAGUUGGUGGAUAAUGGACCUGCCCCUCUAUCCUUCUCCACUAACAUACUAGGCUUUUGUCUGUGGCAGGUUUCAAACCCAUGAUGUGCUUCUUGUCCACACACAUCAUGCCUUGCAUUUUUAUCUCUAGACUGACAUCCUGGGGUGGAAGUAUAGAUACCUAUGAGACAUUUGUUUACUUAGUGAAUGAAACCUAGGAAAGCAAAAUACCAGAACUACUAAGUUUUUUUUAUUUGCAACCUCAAAAACCAAUUUCCUACUACAUGCCCAGCUACAGACUUAAUUUGGGGAAUUACCUGUUUCCAAGCCAGGCAAGUCAUUUGUUACCAUUAAGCACUGUGUAUUUGGCAUUGAAUGCUUCCAGAACAUGGUGACCUACACAUAGUAGACUAAUGUCAUGCUAGUGCAAUAAACACCCCG